Molecule: transfer RNA, 83 nt
Organism: Lepisosteus oculatus (spotted gar)
Lineage: Eukaryota; Metazoa; Chordata; Actinopteri; Semionotiformes; Lepisosteidae
Rfam family: tRNA
About the family: Transfer RNA (tRNA) molecules are approximately 80 nucleotides in length. Their secondary structure includes four short double-helical elements and three loops (D, anti-codon, and T loops).
Source: Rfam
GUCACGAUGGCCAAGUGGUCUAAGGUGCUGUGUUCAGGUUGCAGUCUCCCCUGGAGGAGUGGGUUAGAAUCCAACUUCUGACA